This 22-nucleotide non-coding RNA is filed under the name Arabidopsis thaliana (thale cress). The record is from RNAcentral. Lineage: Eukaryota; Viridiplantae; Streptophyta; Magnoliopsida; Brassicales; Brassicaceae.
UGUAGUCAUGCACAAUCUUGGA